This 8472-nucleotide long non-coding RNA is filed under the name Homo sapiens (human). Its description in RNAcentral is "HSALNT0095228". Lineage: Eukaryota; Metazoa; Chordata; Mammalia; Primates; Hominidae. The record is from RNAcentral.
CACCCCAUGGCAUUAAGAGAGAAAAGUAAAAAGUAUGCAUAAAUCUUUUAACUAUGCUUUACAUGGGGGAAAGAACAGAUGUAUCAACUAUCCUAUAUAUCAACUGGAUUCCCAGUUUUAAAUAAAACCAAUAUUUACUGGUAAAAAUUGUCAAAGCGAAUACACGCAAACAAAUGUUACUAGUAAAUAAAUGUUCUACAUAGAGAAUAAUUUACUUUGGUUUUAUGCGCCUUCUCAAAAAUAACACUAGUGUCCCAACGUCACCAAACUGAUGUGUUCCAGCAAAGUUGUAAGGCAAAUCUUUUUUUCCCUAGUGACAUCUUGUUUCCCAACAGACAAAACUAAAAUCUUUUGGUGAGGAAGGGGUUAAGAUAAUGGCUAACCCCUUGGCAUCCUGAGCAUUGUGGUUUAUCAAACUCUACCCUGCUAGAAAUUGUCAGGCACCCUGACCCCUGCCUUGAACCAGGAAGGCUCCCAUGUCUAGAGAUGCCCUGACUCCUUAUAAAUAGCUUUCAGAACUUUGCUUUUUUCCCUUCUCUCUGGUUGUUAUAAUGUCUAACGAAGCUGGUUGCAAUGUCACAUUUUGCUAGUAGGGGCCACCAUCUAACAAUAAUUCCAAUAUGAAAGGUUUUAAGCCAAUAGUUGGUUCCUAAUUUUAUCAACGAUUUGCACUAAAAUUCUCUACAAUUUACUUAGAGCAGAGAUCUUUAACUUGGGUUUCAGAAGAUGUGUGAUGCCCCUGAAGUUGUAUGCAAAAUUAUCCAGGGAUGGGCAUUUUUUUUUUCUUGGGUAGAGGAUCCAUCACACUGUCAUCAGAUUAUCAAAGAUAUCUGUGACCCCCAAAAAGGGUUAUAGGGACUUAGAGGGAUACCCGUAAUUCAUUUUAUACCAGGACUGGGAAAUGGGGGCAGAAAACUAAAAAUGGCCUCGAAAAAGGCCAGGGACAAAUUGCUGAUCUUUUCCCUUUAUUCACAUUGGGAAAAUAAGUGCUUCAAACUGGAAAAAUCAUUAAUUAAGCUGGUUAAACUCCAUUAAAAAAUAAUCAAAUCGCUUUCUAAAUUUUUUUCAUUUUCGAUAUGUGGUAAAUUUUGUCUCCAAGAAAAGGUUUGGAGACUGAAUUUUUCUCUUUUCCUAAAGGAAAUUCAUAGAUAGAAUGCUGAAUAUCAUCCACAUUUAAAGAUUUGACAACAUAAAAGUUAGAUAACUCUUAAUGAUGUGAAUCUUUAACUUAUGAUUUUGAGUAAAGGAUUAUCUAGAAUCAAAUAUACACUUAUUAAUCUUCAUUUCCCAAAAUUGGUCCAUAUUUAGACAACUACCUGGCACAAUUUCACUAGAUAAACCUAAAAUCUGAACAAUGGAAGUUAAACUUCUACCCAAAGUAAAAACAAAGCCAUAAGAUUCCACAAUUGAAUUGGCCACAAACAUUCACACUAUGUUAUAAAGGACUUUCUCAUUUCAAAUACAUCACUGAAUGUUCAACAGAAUUUGCAAACAUAAGAUCCAGAAUGACUAGCAAAACAUGCUAAGAGCAUGUCAAAAAGUAAAACACCACCUCUCCCCCCCCAAUCUGGAAACACACUCAGGCAUUCCAAAAAUAAACCAGAUCUGAAAAGAGGCCUCUCACUUGGUUUUAAGUAUGAGGUGUGUACAAAGCUAUGGGAAAGGGAAUAUAAAAUGAAAUAACCAAAUAACUUACAAAAAAUAAUUUUAGCCAAAAACACAUCUCUCUGUUCCAUUGAUAAAACUAUCAAUUUUUAAAUUUUUUUGCAAUUCUGAACACUGUGUUGCAUAAUAUCACCAAGACAAAAAAUAUGUUCACAGGUACACUUUUUGUUAUUUUCUUUCUAGAGCACAUCUUUGAGGUCAUAAGACCGCAUCUGGUUAAAAUAAAGUCUCUUGCCCUUGCUUCCCUUCCCCCUCAAAGUGAUUCAACCCUGAAUUCCAAAAAGGAAUAUUCAAUAUAACAACUUGAAAACCAGUUGUAACACUUAGACCAUAAGGAAACUAUAUGAACAUUAUGGAAAACUACAUGAAAGAGGGAGCUGCCACUUGCCACCCACUUCACUUCCAGCUUUUUAAGCAUGUACCCAGCUAGACUCCUAUCUCACUGACUUCAGUGAAACAAACUAACACACCAAAUCUAGGCCAUCUCAGGCUGGAAGUUAAAACUCGAAGACAUCAUUUCAUAUACACAUACAUAUAUAUUCCCUAUCCUAAGCUUUAACUUUGUCUAUUUAAACAGUUUAAUAAAGCUCACAUUUACAAAGGAUUUUAUUGGCAAAUAAAGGCCCAUAUUAAAAAUUUUAUCAGAACAAAUUUUUGUUUUAUACAGCUAACAUUAAGAAAUAUUUUCUUGGCCUUAUAAAAUAUUUUUAAUUGCAUAUAAUUUUUGCUUUGGGUGGAAUAUUGAAAACACAAUUCUGCAAGAAAUUAGAAAAGACUAGAAACAAAAGUGAAAGUGACUAGCCUUAACUUUCAAAAAAUCAAGUGCAAAGAUAAAUAGUGCAAAUAAUGAAAACUAGAAAUUUUACAGGCAACUUUAGUCUUUCCUGCUUUUGCACUUUUACACAUUGACAACUUUAUAAACCCUAACAACUAUAUGCAGCAUGGAAAUGGGCUAUCAUUUAUCUCCACUGACUAGACUUAAGCCUUUCAAGGACUUGUCUCACAGUCAUUUAAAUCACAAGUUCUUGACACAGGUUUGGGAAUUCACUUCUUUUUAAACAAAUUUCUAAGGGAGGGGCUAUUUAAGAAGGCUUUGCAUUGACUUAAAUGAGUUAUAGUAUAUAACUAUUAUAAUUUAAAAUCUGACACAAUAAAAUGUGAAAAUUAUACUAAAGUGCCAACUCUACAAAAUAAGCUAUAGUAAAAAUAAUCCUGCUAUUGUUAAUGAACCUGACAUUCGUAAAAAAGAAAAAUUACCUUCAAAGUACAAAAUCAGAACCACUUUUUUGCUAUUUUUAAAAGAGAUUUUUAUCACUAAUAUAUAGAGAUGUGAGUAAAAUGAAACUUCAAAGUAAUCUGUCCAAAUCACCAGGAAUAAAUCCAUACUAAAUUUGACAACAAAGAGUUAAUCCAAACAUACUUGAAUUAUGUAACUUAAAAACAAACAUUACAGUAAUUAUUUAUCUUAAAUAAUUUAAAACACUACUGGAAUAAUGGGAACAGAAAUCUAAACACUAUCAGCUUACCCUACAAAGGAUAUAAGAACCUCCAAAAUGUACUAACUUAUUUUAUUAACAUUUGCCACCACUGAACUCUUGGGAAUACUACAAUUUUAAAGUAAGAGAGAAAGUAGGGAAACAGAAACAUGAGUUUGGGGGGUAUGUUGUCUAAUUUUAGAAAUACAGUAUUAUUGAGGGCCUCAUAAGGUCUACAAGGUUAAAUGGUUGCUACGGAUGCAAAUGUAAAAGAAAUAAAAAAGACACCUAAAAUUGCAAGUUAGUGUUUUUACCUGGUUUAUUGUCUUCUAAGAAAUUUGUGUGGGCCAAAGUCUCAAAAUUCUAUAAAAGCAAGGAAUAAUAUGUGUCUUUGUGGAGUACAAAAUCAAAUAAUUUGAUCUAAGGACCAUUUGAAAAGUAAAGGUAAACUACAUUGUAACAAGAGCCCAAGAAAAUAGAUAGUAUGUGUGAUAAAUAUUUCUGAUAGUUUAAAAAGAAUAAUGGUGAAAAGCUUGAAAUUUUCUUUUCCUCAAAAUAAUAACUCCCCAGCAUCCACUUGCCUUGACCAGAAAAGCUGUCAUUCCACAAUUGUGCUAAUUUGUCCCAGAAAAGCAGACAUCCUAUACAUGAAAACAGACUUGUAUAAUGCAUGAUCAUUAUCAUAACUCUAGCUAUAGUAACUAACAGCUUUCUCAUAAUCAAUGAGGGACCCAUUUUCUCUGGCUUUAUUGAAACUUCCUUAGUGAAGAUCAACUUCAUUUCCUUAGCAAAUAACUCUCAUUCGGACUCCAUCAUAGUACCUUUUCCUACCUCUAGUAAAAAUUCCUCUCACUUUAUUUCCAAACCAUUCUCUAUAUACCUCUCAAACCCCCAUCCACAAACACAUUAAACAGCUCUCCUCGUCCUACUCUCCAAUUUCCAAACCAGUAAGUCUCAGUUCCCAGUAACUUACCUAAAAUACACAUACUUCUUACUCUCUUCAGUUCACAAGUUUCUUAACAUUAAUUUAGAUACCUUCAAACUGCCAGCUUAAGACUAUGGGGAAAAUAGCAAUCAGAAAAAAACUGCCCAGUUACCUCAUAAUACUGAAAUUGUUCUGGAUCAUCAGUUAGCUAUGUUCUAAGGCAGGAGUCAGAAAUUUCUUUACUUCUCUCUGAAGAAGUAAGCUUGAGUGCCACUGGUAGGCCUACAGCAAGAGUAAAAGUGGAGAGAGAAACAAAGAAAAAGGAUAGGAGAGAGAAGAUGCCAGAUGUACAUGGUAAGGAGGUAGGUCAAGUACCACCACCAACUACCUGCAUUUAAAAUUGCCAAUCCACUCCAGCUGAAUGGGAGUUUGACCCAAACUCAACAUGUGUCUGAUAAGUCAUUAGCUGAUGGCUAUCAUUGUUUGAGCUAGUCAAGAUGAAUAGGUAAUUCACCUGUCCCAUAACUUUAACUGCCACUUCACGAUAAGGACAUAUUUUCUUAAAUCCUCCUAGGAUCCUUCUGUGUUAAUAAUCUACCUUAGACCAAAACACACACUAACAAGAGUAUUUCCAUGUUUUUCACAAUUCUAAAAUAGAAGGACUUGGUCCUUGAACUUGGAGGCCUCUUGAAUUAUUAAAGUGGAACCAAAAUCAAGAAAAUUAAACUCUUUAGCUUAAACAUUUUUCCAUCUAAUGCUACAAAAUAAGCUAAUUGCUAAUAAUUAUCAAAACAAUGUGUGUAUUUAUGAAAACAUGAAAAUCCUGUGAUUCCAAAAUGAGUGAAAUACUUCUGAUGUGUAAGAAGCAACUAUAUUUUACAUAGAGGAUCACCACCAUGUUUCUGCCUAUCAACAGGACAAUCUUCCACAAAAGCAAAGGACAUCAGGAAGGAAAAACACAAAACAAAACAAAUACCAAACGUGGGGACAAAAUAAAAAUGAAUGAGUAGUUAUGACAUUCUUGUUAAGAAAAAUGUUAACAAGUGACCUUUGCCACACUCAGCUUUCCUAAAGACAUAAAUUGCCUGGACCAUUCAACAUCAAAACUUGGUAGUUAGCUUAGCAGAUUCAUUGGCUUGAAACCAAUCAUUAUUUCUUAUUUCAUCUGGUUGUUCUUUUAUCAUGAAAUUCUACCUGACUCAUGCUAAUUCUGGCUUAUUUUCACUUAGCCUGUAAUGAAAUUUCUGUUCAAAAAGGACGUGUCAAAUGGCCUAUACCUUAAAUUUAGGUUUUCAGGAUCAAAUAACUUCUUAAAUAUUAAUAUUAAAAUCAGCUUUUCUUAAUAUAUCACAAAAUCUGCAAAGAAGAUUCUAUAAUAAUUCGUGAAUAGCAGUGAUCACUUUAGUUUUAUAGCAUACUUAUGAAUGGCCAAAAUUUGGUUAAUAUGCAAUGAAGAAAACAGAAAUAUUGUGAUUUAAAAAUUGAUACACUUUAACAAAUCUACACAAAUAACUUUGGUGAAUUUAUCUAUGUAAGCAAUUCCAAUAAAUUAUCUCUCCUACUUAUUCCACUCUCAAGGAGAUGUGUGUAUCUAUAUACAUAUACACACACACAAUGUAUAUAUACAUAUAUAUGUGUAUGUGUGUGUAUACAUCUCUCUCCAAAUUAUGAAGAUAUUCAAAUUUAGGGAUAAUAAACUAUAAAUGUUAUACUCAGAGUCAUCACCAACUAUUCCAAACCUAAGUUGCUACAGAUGCCCUUGUUUUAGCAUCCUUUUACAUAGAUAGCAAGGUCUCAUUCUGAUACUCAAAAGAUUUUAAAAAGGGAAAAAAGUCAUUAGACUUGGUAUCUCACUUUUUAUGGUGAAGAAAAUCUUAAAAUUAUGUUCACAUGUAAAAUAAAAUGAAUUGUGGAGCUAUGAAAGCUACUAGACCAUCAAUUUCAGAUAGCCCCAUUCUAAAAUUAUCUGGAAAUGUGUGUGUAUAUAUAACCUGAAAAAAUGAGUGGGAAUAUUGUAGACAAGAAGGUGAACCAUGUGUGGAAGAUAAAAAUAAUCAUGCCCAUAUGGUGGGGUCACCAGGUCUAGCAGAUAACCCAAAAUGUCAUAAAAGAAAAAUGUGUUUAGAAAGUUUGAACAGGGCCAAAACACAAAAUGUUAAAAGCACACAAACAAAAAUGAAUGAGAUAAUCCCCCCAAACGUCAAGUUACAUAAGAAAAUAGGAAGAAAAAAGUUGACAUAGUAUCUUUUAAAAUAUAUCAAAUCUUAACUGACUUAAAAAAUGAUAUAAAGUGCUUGGGCCAUGAUACCCACCCAGAUUCUCAUUAUCAACGGAUUUAUCUUUUCCCCCUCCCUUCCACCCAAAUUUAAUUCAGUUUUCCUUAAGAAAAAGUACAGCAUCCCUAUAUUAAUAAGAAAUGAAAACAGUGAGUACAACUGAUAUAGAUCCAUUGACUUUUAUUACAAAUGUACUUGAUCACUUGGCUUCAAAAAGUUUAAAAUCAAUACCCUAUUUUCUGUAUGCCAGUACAAAGCAAACUGUUUUACAAAUUAAAUACCUAAAAAUUUGACAAAAAUAUUAAAAUUUGAUGAAAAACAAUUAUAAAAAUCCUUAAUCUCUCUCUUCAAAAAAGGAGGCACAAAUAAAAAGUAGCUUAAAAAAAAUUUGGUGAUUUAAAAGAAAAAAACAACUCCAAACACACACACAUACAUAAGCAUUUCAAAUCUGGUGGCUGAUCUCUGGAUUAAAUUACUUGACAGUGUCUCUCAUUUUAAAGAACGUCAAUAUUGCAAUGCAGUUCAAGUUUUCUUUUAUACUUAGGCAAAUAAUACAGUUUAACCAAGCUCUUGGACCUUAAUUGUAAGACAAAGCAGAUCAAUAAAAAUAAGGCAUACUUCUCAGGAAUUAAGUUUUGUUUGCUUGUUUUUGGCACAUUUGAUCAUACUGUCUUCUAUGAAUAACACAUAUGGUCAAAUAUACCAUUUCCUUAUUUGUUUCAGCAUAAACAGGGUUUACCAACUAGUAAAAUAAAAACAAGGAAAAAUUCCAACAUAAAACACUGAUAUAUAGAAACUAGGUAAAGUACCGAGCACCUGGGAGGGAAGGGUAGGGAAAGGAUGCAACAGAAGAGGGAAGACAAGGUUUGGGAGGGUGCUUGGGGAGGUAAAGUGAGAUGCUUAAAAAAAGAGCAUCUUUACAGUCACUUAGUCUUUUCUAUGAUCACUUUUUAAGUCUUAAAAGAUCUGCAUGUGGAUUUCUUUUUAAACCCACUGACCAUAAAUCAGACACUGGUUUCAAAAUCGUAGUUAGAUUGUAUUAAACUGUUUUAGUGUAAAGACAAUUAAUUGCACAAUACAUGUGCUUCUUGAGCCGGUGGGAUUCCAAGCAGAAUCUGAAGUCUAUAGAUAAGAAAGGCUUCACUUUAGGUAACUCUGGCCCUAAAGAAAACCUCAUGAAAGAACUCGCAUCUCAAAGAAAGGACACUUUGCCUAAGUUUGCUGUGUUUUUGUUGACUUGCACUACUUAUUGCUGGCUACUAUGAAACAGUGAUCUAGGAGUACUCCAACAACCUGUAGUACAAGGCUUAACUUUAAGAAGCUAUAGUAAACAAGAGACAAAAUCAAAGCAAUUCUCUUUCCUAAUUAGUAACAGCACAGAGAAUGCAGUCUUUUCCAUAUCACAGUUAAAGUACAGUGAACAAAACAGCUCAACAAACCUUAAGACAAAAAAGUGCAGGUUAUUAAUGUUUACAUGCAGUUGAUAAGCAUUCCAAAUGUCACAUUAUGCACUGUAAAAGCUCAACUUUACUAUAUGGAAAUAAGAAAAAUGCACCUCUGGGGAGGGGGAAAAGCAAUUUAAUCAUUUCCAGUGAUUUUGUAAGUAAAGAAACUCCUAACUACUGUACGGUCACCUCAUAUUUAACAUUGAAUAUUAAAAGCAAACAAUUUAAUGGGAAAAUGCACAGUACAAUGAAAAUAGCUUGUUAUUCAACACAUACAGUAGAUCUCAAAAACGAAGACAACACACUCAACCAGGGAGCAUAAAAAUAUCAAAUCAAAACCCAAAGGACCAGCAGAAAAAAAUCCUUCAAAAAGACAACUGUUUGCCUUCCUAGGCCAAUGCUUUACAAUAUAAGAAGCACUGAUACCUUCCCGCUCCUACAGGUGGUGUCUUAUACAUACAGCAGUUAGAUCUAUAUGGCUGGAUUUGCCAAGAAACAAUUCCAUCCCCAGAACUCUCUGUCAGACAAGACCCUUUUUUUUUUUUUUUUUUUUUACCAAAAUACUUUCUACAGAAUUCCAAACCAAAAUGUACUGUUUAAGGCAUCUUUUUUAUAACAUUUUCUCUUCACUCAAAGAUGAUAGUCAUGCAGCAGUUUAAUGAUAAAAAUAUAUUAAUAUUUUACUA